GACGAACGCUGGCGGCGUGCUUAAUACAUGCAAGUCAACUGAAGCAGUGGUAUCAAUAUCGCUGUGGAGGUGGCGCACGGGUGAGUAACACGUAGGUAAUCUGCCUUCGGGUCUGGCAUAACUCCGGGAAACCGGGGCUAAUAGCAGAUGAUGCAGCGGCUCGACAUCGAGACAGUUGUUAAAGCUAUGGCGCCGGAAGAUGAGCCUGCGUCUGAUUAGCUAGUUGGCGGGGUAACGGCGCACCAAGGCAACGAUGAGUAGCUGGUCUGAGAGGCUGAUCAGCUACACUGGAAACGAGACACGGUCCAGAAUGGUACGGGGGGGAGCAGUAAGGAGUACUGCUCAAUGGGAGAAAACCUGAAGCAGCAACGCCGCGUAAGGGACGAUGGGCUUUUGCUUGUAAACCUCUGAAGUGAGAGAAAAAAACCCGAAUCUUUGGGACAUGAUGGUAUCUGAAUAGUAAGCCCCGGCUAACUACGUG
This 481-nucleotide ribosomal RNA is filed under the name uncultured bacterium. RNAcentral describes it as "partial 16S ribosomal RNA". It matches the Rfam family "Bacterial small subunit ribosomal RNA", at positions 28 to 507 of the family's 1533-position model. The record is from RNAcentral.